UUGAGGGGGAGGAAGCCGUGGUAUACGGCAGGAGCGAAACACUUUUAUAGAUGCAUUUGUUCAUCGAUUUCUAUUUCAAUUUUAAACAUAGUAGUCUUGAUAGACUUCUUUUGGCAUCAUCUGGAGCAAAUUGUCUGCACAGAUAUAAUAUGUCUUCGAGUCAGCCUGCAUCACAGGCGAGCGCUGGAGCCAACAGCUUGGGCUACAGCCCCAGUGGAAUCAGGUCCGACAGCCGCGCACCCUCUUCAAUUGCGACGCCGAAGGUUUACGCCCCAUCUGCCUCAAAGAUACCGUCCACGGGGAGCAAGGGCAAAAACUCUGGAGGCGGUGGCGGGCGUAGGAAGUAGACUGGACAUUCGGGACCGGUCUGGAGAUCUAGUUGAUCGAGGCCAACUUAUUGAGGUCCACGUAAUUGUAGUGACAGACAGAUUUGAAGGAGGAAUCGCUAGCUGUUCAAAUUUU
This is a long non-coding RNA of Strongylocentrotus purpuratus (purple sea urchin), 462 nucleotides long. RefSeq lists it as uncharacterized. The record is from RefSeq and is a predicted model, not a curated record. The transcript is spliced from 2 exons. Lineage: Eukaryota; Metazoa; Echinodermata; Echinoidea; Camarodonta; Strongylocentrotidae.